Long non-coding RNA from Scylla paramamosain (green mud crab), 459 nucleotides. RefSeq lists it as uncharacterized. The record is from RefSeq and is a predicted model, not a curated record. The transcript is spliced from 4 exons. NCBI's taxonomy places the organism in Eukaryota, Metazoa, Arthropoda, Malacostraca, Decapoda, Portunidae.
AUCACAGCACAAGUAAGGCGGAUGGCGGACUCCUGGCACCUCUUAUGUUUAUAUUCCGCUGUAUGCGUGCAAUAUUAAGUGAUCUGCAUCCCCUUGACGCUGAACGGUGAGCUUGAGAGUCGGUGGGGCAGCACAGGACGAGAGGACAGCGGGACUCCUUAUCACGGAAAAAGAACAGAUAACAAAGAAAACAAAAUCGUGUUGCCUUCCCCUGGGUGGUGCAGUGGGGCGAGGCGGAGUGGUGUACACGAUGCCACAAGUAUUUACUAGUGCCUCCUCCGCUGCCCUGGCCUGGUAUUGGGGGCGCCGUGUCUCUGCAGCUGCCUAACUGGCCAGCUGACGCACCUUGAUGUCUCCAGGGCCGCGGUGAAGCAUGUGAGGAGACAAGGUGUGACGCGACUUACCUGUGACGUUGAUUGGGCCAAGGUGACGCCAGUGAGUAUGUCCUUGUUUUUGUGU